AUUGAACGCUGGCGGCAUGCUUUACACAUGCAAGUCGAACGGCAGCGCGGGCUUCGGCCUGGCGGCGAGUGGCGAACGGGGGAGUAAUGCAUCGGAACGUGCCCAGUAGGGGGGGAUAGCCCGGCGAAAGCCGGAGUAAUACCGCAGACGACCUGAGGGUGAAAGCGGGGGACCGAAAGGCCUCGCGCUAUUGGAGCGGCCGAUGUCGGAUUAGCUAGUUGGUGGGGUAAAGGCUUACCAAGGCGACGAUCCGUAGCUGGUCUGAGAGGACGCCCAGCCACACUGGGACUGAGACACGGCCCAGACUCCUACGGGAGGCAGCAGUGGGGAAUUUUGGACAAUGGGGGCAACCCUGAUCCAGCCAUGCCGCGUGCGGGAAGACGGCCUUCGGGUUGUAAACCGCUUUUGUUCGGGAAGAAAUCCUCUGGGCUAAUACCCCGGGGGGAUGACGGUACCGGAAGAAUAAGCACCGGCUAACUACGUG
RNAcentral lists this ribosomal RNA (484 nucleotides) under uncultured bacterium. RNAcentral describes it as "partial 16S ribosomal RNA". It matches the Rfam family "Bacterial small subunit ribosomal RNA", at positions 28 to 507 of the family's 1533-position model. The record is from RNAcentral.